Molecule: long non-coding RNA, 615 nt
Organism: Brassica rapa (field mustard)
Lineage: Eukaryota; Viridiplantae; Streptophyta; Magnoliopsida; Brassicales; Brassicaceae
Source: RefSeq, a predicted model, not a curated record
UUGACAGGUUUAUGGUCAUACCAGACAUCCUCAAGCAUGCUCCCAUGUUCAAGCGCUUAGAUGCUCGAAUCAAGGUAUAUAAUACUUUAAUUGAUGCAGGGAAAGGGCGGAUCACUGGGUGUUGGCAGAGGUAGAGCUGCAAUGCGAGGAAAAGCUCCGGCUACUGGACGUGGAACUGGAGGAAGAGGAGCUGUACCACCUGUGAGGAGAUGAUCCGUCAACAUAUAAGCUUCGAUUCUGUGACAAAGCCAGCCUCCAACAAGUAGAAGGCUAACUAGAGCGAAAGAUAUGUCCAGAUGCACUAUUAGUUCUGUAGUUUUGGGUCCUACAAAAUUUCCUUAUGAUAUGUUUUUCUCAUUCUCCAUUUCUAGCAAUUGGUGGGACGAGAUAAUGAACAUAACAAGCAGAUCACAGUGACUUAAAUCUGUUAGUCAUGCAUUUGAAUGAGGAGUAUUAUAUCAUUUUCUUCUUUGGGAAAUUAAAAUAGUAUUUUAUUUUUUUGUAGAGAGAACAAUACACAAGUACUAUGUAAGAUUAGCAUGUAUAUGUUGCUUCGUGUGUGUGAUCAUAGUUUAUGAGCCUCCUCGUUCUCUUGCAGUUUCUUUUGUACACCAA